UACGGAGGGUGCGAGCGUUGUCCGGAAUCACUGGGCGUAAAGGGCGCGUAGGCGGCCUGAUAAGUAGGGGGUGAAAUCCUGCGGCUUAACCGCAGGGCUGCCUUCUAAACUGUCAGGCUCGAGCACAGUAGAGGCAGGUGGAAUUCCCGGUGUAGCGGUGGAAUGCGUAGAGAUCGGGAAGAACACCGGUGGCGAAGGCGGCCUGCUGGGCAGUUUUGCUGACACUGAGGCGCGACAGCGUGGGGAGCAAACAGG
This 255-nucleotide ribosomal RNA is filed under the name uncultured bacterium. RNAcentral's name for it is "partial 16S ribosomal RNA". It matches the Rfam family "Bacterial small subunit ribosomal RNA", at positions 524 to 776 of the family's 1533-position model. The record is from RNAcentral.